Molecule: ribosomal RNA, 309 nt
Filed under: uncultured eukaryote
Lineage: Eukaryota
Description: partial 18S ribosomal RNA
Rfam family: Eukaryotic small subunit ribosomal RNA
Source: RNAcentral
CCCUUAGAUGUUCUGGGCGGCCCGCGCACUACAUUGGCACUCUCAAUAAGUUCCUAGAUCUAAAACUUUGGGGUAUUCUAUUAAGUGGUGUCGUGACUGGGGUUAACCCUUGCAAUUAUUGGUUACGAACGAGGAAUUCCUUGUAAUCGCGGUUUAUCAGCCCGCGUUGAAUGCGUCCCUGCCCUUUGUACACACCGCCCGUCGCUCCUACCGAUGAAUCGUCCGGUGAAGUUCAUGGAGUGGUGGUUGUUCCAGCUGCUGUCGAAGUGAAAUGGACCUCACGAUUUAGAGGAAGGAGAAGUCGUAACA